UCCCUUCCAUCUUGACCAACA
Molecule: non-coding RNA, 21 nt
Filed under: Caenorhabditis elegans
Lineage: Eukaryota; Metazoa; Nematoda; Chromadorea; Rhabditida; Rhabditidae
Source: RNAcentral